RNAcentral lists this ribosomal RNA (253 nucleotides) under uncultured bacterium. Its description in RNAcentral is "partial 16S ribosomal RNA". It matches the Rfam family "Bacterial small subunit ribosomal RNA", at positions 524 to 776 of the family's 1533-position model. The record is from RNAcentral.
UACGAAGGGGGCUAGCGUUGCUCGGAAUUACUGGGCGUAAAGGGCGCGUAGGCGGCACUGUUAGUCAGGCGUGAAAUUCCUGGGCUCAACCUGGGGACUGCGCUUGAUACGGCAGAGCUUGAGGAUGGAAGAGGGUCGCGGAAUUCCCAGUGUAGAGGUGAAAUUCGUAGAUAUUGGGAAGAACACCGGUGGCGAAGGCGGCGACCUGGUCCAUUACUGACGCUGAGGCGCGACAGCGUGGGGAGCGAACAGG